This 321-nucleotide long non-coding RNA is filed under the name Elaeis guineensis (African oil palm). RNAcentral's name for it is "long non-coding RNA (EGUI_LNC022657)". Lineage: Eukaryota; Viridiplantae; Streptophyta; Magnoliopsida; Arecales; Arecaceae. The record is from RNAcentral.
GUUAGCAUGCUUGUGAUCUAGUCCCAUCUUUUAUUAGGUAAGGAGGAUCGACAAGCGAUCCUGUAGUUUCUGUCUCCCAGCCCGUAGGCAAGGGCACGCCAACAGACUUCAGGUAUCAAUGUCCGUCGUCUUGUACGGUCGUGGUCGAGUUAAGCCUAAAACUUAGAGUUUUCACCCUAAGUGACACCUCUAAGAGUGCUUAACCAAGGUAACAUUCUUUUUUCAAACACGCCUUACUCCACUCUGAAUUACCUCUCGAGAUCUAACUCAUAUUCUCUAUCUAAUCUCCCUUGUUCUCUAGCUUCGCUAGUCAGACUGGAU